GCAAACUUUCCGUAUUUCGCAAAACGGAGCGAAUCCGUAGCAAAUUCACGAUGCAGUUGCAAGCCGAUACUGGACACAGAGGGAGAAACAUUAAUCAUUGGACAACCUGGACAAAGCAGCAAAGAGGGACAUUAAAACAGUGGACUCUGUGCCGCAAGCGACAGCGGGUCAACCGUGCACGGCCGAUGACUGGGUCCCGGAGCCUAAAUCCUCCCCGGCUCGUGGGCUAGCUAUGUAAAGGGUGAGCUUCAGGGUGCCCGGCUUACAUGAUUUUUGGGAUUCAUCAGUACAGGUACCCAAGCUGAAAUUUUGAACUCAAAACGCUUCAAUCUGCAGUAUAAGGUUAGACCUUAACAGAAAACUGUUAACACCUCUGUAUUAAACACUGCUGUAAGGAAUUUCUUGUGAAAGGGUUGACAAGUUUAUUAAGGCAUGCUGGGCACGUUAAUCGAGGUACCAGGGUGACGGAUGGCGGCAUGACGACCCCAUGGUGUUCGCUCUGGAUCCGGCGUUUUUGCCUCGCUUAGGUUUGCUAGGUUUAAUGAUGGGUUGGUGCGUUAGUACAUUUUUGACGGCCCCUCAUACUUGCUAUGGACCGGCAAAAAUUACAUAACUGUGGUGUUUGGACAUGUGAACAAAUGUAUCUUUGGGAGUUGUUAGGUUUUCCAAUGAAGGGCAUUUUCGUUCGGAGACGGCUGACUGGCCUACCGGGCAGAUUGGAGGAAUAUGGCUGAGGUAACGUACGGACGUUAUGAUAUAAAUUUGUUUGGAAGGUGUAGGAUACGGUAUGUAGAAAGUCUGGAAACUUUAGGAAAGUUUGUGUGAGGUUUAUUGAUCUCUGUGUUGUAGUUGUUUUUGCUCAGGUUGGAUGGAUCGUCCCUCUGACUGCCCCCACCCACCUGCGGUGUUCCGCCAGGUCGAUCGCUGGGACUCCUUGGAGGUUUGCAUGGUCCCAUCCCGCCCGGCGACACUGCAUCGGUGGUGAACAUUUCCCU
Long non-coding RNA from Esox lucius (northern pike), 995 nucleotides. The record is from Ensembl. Lineage: Eukaryota; Metazoa; Chordata; Actinopteri; Esociformes; Esocidae.